ACACACUCCCUCCUGAGAGCAGCCCGAGAGUCCUGUCUUCAGGAGGCAAUACUUAGCACUCCUCAUAGCACUGGGUGCGGCACGGGGCAGGGCCUGGGGCAGGCGGUGCGUGGUGACACCUCUGGGCUGACGGCCUGUUCUGUGGAUACAAACAGCGUGGAAGAGAAAGUGGCUUCAAAUCAACACAACUCGGCUUCAAAAAGCAAAUCCCUGGGAUGCCCUCCUGCCUUCAGCCUGAAAACGGCCAGCGCGAUGCUGCCGCUUCUGUGGUCCGUGCGGCCUGCCUUCUCCAGCGGGGUCAGGCGGGGCGGUCCUUGCCCCUGCAGCCCACCCCAGCUCCGGCAGUGCUGGGAACGCCAGCGGCUCCUCCGCCUUAGGAACCAGAGGUGGCUGCCUUUGUCCCUCAUCAUGCAGCCCAGAGCCAGGAGGUCUGUGUCCAGGGAUGUUCCCUGUGUCCAGUUCAGGGCCAGGGGGUCUGUGCGGAGAUGUUCCCUGUGUCCAGUUCAGAGCCGGGGGUUUGUGUCUGGAGAUGUUCCCUGUGUCCAGUUCGGGGCCAGGGGGUCUGUGUGCGGAGAUGUUCCCUGUGUCCAGUUCAGGGCCGGGGGGUGUGUGCGGAGAUGUUCCCUGUGUCCAGUUUGGAGCCGGGGGUCUGUGUCCGGAGAUGUUCCCUGUGUCCAGUUCAGAGCCGGGGGUCUGUGUCCAGGGACACUCCCCUCUGUCCAGUGUGAGGCGCGUGGGCCGGCUGGAGGUCCCUCCCCGAAGGUCUGUCUCACAGCUGUGGGUGCCGCAGCACUGGGACCAGGCUGCACCCACCGGUCUGGGCCUCAGGUUCUGAGGGCUGCUGCUGGUGCCUGGGCCAGGGAAAGGCACGGUGGGAGCUGGUCUCCGGCUCAGAGAUGCCCAGCUGCUGGCUCAGGCUGGGCCGCAGGAGCCUGUUGUUCCUGCAUCCGCCUGUGGUGUUAGCGUGUGUGAUGUGUUAGCAUGUGUGAUGUGUGUUAGUGGGUGUGGUGUGUGUUGGUGGGUGUGGUGUGUGUUGGUGUGGUGUGUUAGUAUGUGUGAUGUGUUUUGGCAUGUGUGAUGUGUUAGUGUGUGAUGUGUUAAUGUGUUACCUGUUAGCAUGUGUGAUGUGUGUUUGUGUGAUGUGUGUUAGCGUGUGUGAUGUGUGCUUGUGUGAUGUGUUUUCGUGUGUGUGAUUGUUAGUGUGUGUGAUGUGUGCUUGUGUGAUGUGUUUUAGCACGUGUGAUGUGUGUUAGUGUGUGAUGUGUGUGUUAGUGUGUGAUGUGUGUUAGCGUGUGUGAUGUGUGCUUGUGUGAUGUGUUAGUGUGUGUGAUGUGUGCUUGUGAUGUGUUUUAGCACGUGUGAUGUGUGUUAGUGUGUGAUGUGUGUGUUAGUGUGUGAUGUGUGUUAGCGUGUGUGAUGUGUGCUUGUGUGAUGUGUUUUCGUGUGUGUGAUGUUAGUGUGUGUGAUGUGUGCUUGUGUGAUGUGUUUUAGCACGUGUGAUGUGUGUUAGUGUGUGAUGUGUGUUAGCGUGUGUGAUGUGUGCUUGUGUGAUGUGUUUUCGUGUGUGUGAUGUGUGUUUGUGUGAUGUGUUAGCGUGUGUGAUGUGUGCUUGUGUGAUGUGUUUUUGUGUGUGUGAUGUGUUAGUGUGUGUGAUGUGUGUUUGUGUGAUGUGUGUUAGCGUGUGUGAUGUGUGCUUGUGUGAUGUGUUUUUGUGUGUGUGAUGUGUUAGUGUGUGUGAUGUGUGCUUGUGUGACGUGUUUUAGCACGUGUGAUGUGUGUUAGUGUGUGAUGUGUGUUAGUGUGUGAUGUGUGUUAGCGUGUGUGAUGUGUGCUUGUGUGAUGUGUUUUUGUGUGUGUGAUGUGUUAGUGUGUGUGAUGUGUGCUUGUGUGAUGUGUUUUCGUGUGUGUGAUGUGUUAGUGUGUGUGAUGUGUGCUUGUGUGAUGUGUUUUAGCACGUGUGAUGUGUGUUAGUGUGUGAUGUGUGUUAGUGUGUGAUGUGUGUUAGCGUGCGUGAUGUGUGCUUGUGUGAUGUGUUUUCGUGUGUGAUGUGUGUUAGUGUGCAAUGUGUUAGCGUGCGUGAUGUCUCACUGCUGUUCAAGUGGACAUUAGCAUUGUCAGGUGGCCUCUGCAGUGUGGGGGUUCCUCUGGUCUGAGCUUGGCAGCCCCUUACCUCAGAGUCCAGGCCUCCUGUGUGUCCUCCAGAGAUAGUUCUCAUGGCAGCACUGGCUGCCCGAGCCCCCAGAGAUGCACUGGGCCCAGCCGCCAUCUUCACAAAUGGUGAACCUCUCCCUUCAAACCACACUGUAGGCACAGGCAGCUGCUGCAAGGCUGAGUCUCUGUGGAAUCCCUUCCUCUCCGAAGGGGCCUGUGAACCGUGACCGAGGGCAGUGAGGAGGGAUCUGGAGAAUCUCAGGGCGCGAGGACACUGGCGGGGCAAGUACGGGGGCAAACCUGCAGGGGCAGCUGCCAGGAGCCAAAAUCAGGGUCAACCUUUCCGUGAGGUGCUUUUGUGCAAACUGAUGUUUAGCUCCUGACUUAAGUAAAAAACAUCCUUACGUCUUAGGUACAUUUGUAAAACCUGGGUUUUAUAUGUGAUGGAAAUAAUGUACCAUCAGUAUUGCAGCGUUGCUAAAACAGGGCAAGGUUUUCUAUUAUGGGGUGACCCUGGGGUCUUCUAUUAUCAGGGUGACCCUGGGUCUUCUAUUAUCGGGGUGACCCUGGGGUUUUCUAUUAUCGGGGUGACCCUGGGGUUUUCUAUUAUGGGGUGGCCCUGGGGUCUUCUAUUAUGGGGUGGCCCUGGGGUUUUCUAUUAUCGAGGUGACCCUGGCUCCCGUGGCAAAUGCUGUCCCCAGUAGCACGUGGGGCUCUUCAGCUUAUCUGAGUGCCGCGUCUCCAUGGGCGGCAAUUUCUCGGAGGCCUGGCACGGCGGCACCGGAAGCGGGUACUGGUGCCCUAAGGAGCGGGAGGGUCAACGUCCGGGGCCUGCCCUGCACUCGCCGAGGUGAUGGGUUGGUUAGAGGAGCCACAGUUCCUCUCCGUGCACUCACGUGAAUUACGCGCGGUGACUCAGCAGCCCCAUGACGUCAUGGCUCUGAGCGAGCGGCCGAGCGUCGGUGCCCCAGUCCAGCCCUUGCUGUUCCUUCACACUCACGUUUCCAAGCUGAAAACGCGAGGGGCUCAAAACUGGAAAGGAAAACAGCGUGGUCGGCCUCUCGUUCCUGCGACGCGUUCUGUGGGUGAUGGAAAGAUGGGGGAGGAGGAGGGACCACCCAGGGUGCCCCCCGCCGACCGUUACCCGCCCUUUGCCCCAAGGCUGUCUUUGAGGUCGGUCUUUCUGGGGCUGUGGCCCAAAUGAAGUCAAGAGACAGCAUCGGGCGUUGACUGUCCCCUCGUGUGGGCCGGGCACCGACCCUGCCUGGGGUUGCUGGGCACCAGCGCUCGUCACAAUAAAAAACCCACAGUGAAGAUGGGUCAGGGGUUUGCACUGCGCCAGGUCUGCUCAUCCCCAAAGCCACGGUUUUCCCAUCGCAGGUGGUCUGGAAGCACCAGACGGCGCGCGUGUGGGGUGGCCAGCGACGGGCUGCCACGGAGGUGUGCGACCUGCAGGCCACAGACAUUCCCAGAGAGCCCCUGCGUGCAAAACAUGGACACACAGAUGUUUGUGAAGCUCUGGGAUGGCGUUUAGCAGGAGGAAUAACGGGGUCUUCAGAGAAUCAACAAAAUAAAUGUAGCACCUGUUGGGUUAUUGAAACCAGUUGUUAUUAGGAAGGGAUCUGGGGCAAUUGAUGAAGAAACAGGAAGACGACAAAACUCAAGGUCCAAGAAUGAGGAAGCCGAGGAAGAAUGAGGAAGCCGAGGAAGAAUGAGGAAGCCGAGGAAGAAUGAGGAAGCCGAGGAAGAAUGAGGAAGCCGAGGAAGAAAGCAGCCGCCGUGUGGAGCCGCCCAGAGACUGGCACUCACCUGUGUCACUGUGCGGGGAGGGCAGGGUCUCGCCAGCAGCCGGUGGCACAUGCGGGCGGCACGGGGGCUGCGUGGUGGCCUCUGUGAUGUCACCUGGCAGAGGUGCCUGAGCUGGGCCCGGCGUGGAGGGCAUAGGCCUCACUCUCUGACUGCCUGACAGUCCCUACAGUGAGCGGGACCCCCUUAUUAAGGCUGUGGGGCAGAGUGGGGUGACAGGUGUUGAGGGGUGGGGCCCAGCCCCGGGCACCCGCAUGUUCCUCUCUGCCCCUGGGAGAAGUGUUGAGAGACGGAGCUCGGGAUCAGCUGGCAUAUCCACCAUGUUCCAGGGUCGACCAGGGAGCACAGAGCCCUGAACAUCCCUUCAACAGCGCGCCACACGCUCCUGGCACAAACUCCAGACCACGGCACAGCACCCAGAUGGCUGCAGCCACGCAGAAACCCACAACUGCCAGGACCGUGGGGUGACAGCCACGGUGGGCUCUGCAGGCCCCUCUGGUCUAAGACACCAGGAGGCCACAUCCAGCAACCAAGGCCACCCGGCAGGACACGUCAGGAUGGAGGUGCAGUGAAGACUGCGGUGGACGCCUCCAGAGGUUCCCACUUGGCUUCCAGUGGAGCCUCUGCCAAACCCGGCCUGUGCAAGGGCAGAGACAAGGCCCAGCAGGGCUCGAGCAGGCCCAAACGCACGACGCAGCUGCUGUGCCUGGGUCUGAGCUGCACCCACAGUUUUCCUGGCGUCUUGUCCUCUGGAUGGGCCUCUGGAUGAACAUAAACUCCAGGGAAGCUGCAUAGAAUAUGCAGCUCUUCUUUAACGCUCCCUAGAGGAAGAAAGCCCCUCAGCCGGAAGUAUUGUUGACGUCGCCGCCACUACUAAUGAAAUAUUUACUGAAAAGCCAAAGCGAAACAUUUUUCUAGUUAAUUAAAACAGUGCAUCUUUCAAGCAAGCUCCCUCGAGGGGCCAGGCUCGGACGGACCCAGCGGGCAGGCAACCCGAGGUGCUCCUGAGUGGGGUCUCGACUGGGAAGGGGGCGCCCAGGACGCAGGUGGGGUUCCUGCCACACGACACUGAGGGGUGGGGGGACAGACGCUGCAGAGACCCUGCGAAAGGCCCCUCCCGAUGGGUAAACUCACACUUGGUACACGCUGGCAGGGGCAUCUGGGCCUGCACUCUGGAAUUGGUGGUGGUCCUGGGAAGGUUUUUUGGGCCAGGGACAAGAGUACUUGGGUUUGCUUUCUGGAAAAAUGAAAAAAGAGAAGUUUC
Homo sapiens (human) is the source of this 5221-nucleotide RNA transcript. RefSeq lists it as uncharacterized. The record is from RefSeq and is a predicted model, not a curated record. Lineage: Eukaryota; Metazoa; Chordata; Mammalia; Primates; Hominidae. The transcript is spliced from 3 exons.